Molecule: transfer RNA, 77 nt
Filed under: Rhizobium sp. MHM7A
Lineage: Bacteria; Pseudomonadati; Pseudomonadota; Alphaproteobacteria; Hyphomicrobiales; Rhizobiaceae
Description: tRNA-Arg
Rfam family: tRNA
About the family: Transfer RNA (tRNA) molecules are approximately 80 nucleotides in length.
Source: RNAcentral
GCUUUCGUAACUCAACUGGACAGAGUACCUGAUUACGAAUCAGAUUGUUGGGGGUUCGAAUCCCUCCGAAAGCGCCA